RNAcentral lists this ribosomal RNA (506 nucleotides) under Beilschmiedia linocieroides. RNAcentral's name for it is "eukaryotic LSU rRNA". The stretch from base 5 to 160 matches the Rfam family "5.8S ribosomal RNA". RNAcentral also lists the same sequence under 1 other name. Lineage: Eukaryota; Viridiplantae; Streptophyta; Magnoliopsida; Laurales; Lauraceae. The record is from RNAcentral.
AGACGACUCUCGGCAACGGAUAUCUCGGCUCUUGCAUCGAUGAAGAACGUAGCGAGAUGCGAUACGUGGUGUGAAUUGCAGAAUCCCGUGAACCAUCGAGUCUUUGAACGCAAGUUGCGCCCGAGGCCACUCGGCCGAGGGCACGCCUGCCUGGGCGUCACGCCCCCGUUCGCUCCCUCAAGGCACGCCCUGCCUCGGGGAUGCGGAGAUUGGCCGCCCGUUGCGCGAAUCGAAGGCGAGCGGUUGGCCCAAAUGCAGGUCAAAGUGCGGAUGCGGCACGACGCGCGUUGGUUUAGUCGCGCGGAUGAUCGCCGGUCGGUCGCCGCGCCCGUGUCAUGCCGCUCGCGGUGCGACCCGUGGGACGCAACUUGCCCGCUACGGCGGGCACUCGGACCGCGACCCCAGGUCAGGCGGGACCACCCGCUGAGUUUAAGCAUAUCAAUAAGCGGAGGAGAAGAAACUUACGAGGAUUCCCCUAGUAACGGCGAGCGAACCGGGAGCAGCCC